AACGAACGCUGGCGGCAGGCCUAACACAUGCAAGUCGAACGCCCUGGCAACAGGGAGUGGCAGACGGGUGAGUAACGCGUGGGAACGUGCCCUUCGGUUCGGAAUAACUCAGGGAAACUUGAGCUAAUACCGGAUACGUGCGAGAGCAGAAAGAUUUAUCGCCGAAGGAUCGGCCCGCGUCCGAUUAGCUAGUUGGUGAGGUAAUGGCUCACCAAGGCGACGAUCGGUAGCUGGUCUGAGAGGAUGAUCAGCCACACUGGGACUGAGACACGGCCCAGACUCCUACGGGAGGCAGCAGUGGGGAAUAUUGGACAAUGGGCGCAAGCCUGAUCCAGCCAUGCCGCGUGAGUGAUGAAGGCCCUAGGGUUGUAAAGCUCUUUCGCCAGGGACGAUAAUGACGGUACCUGGAUAAGAAGCCCCGGCUAACUUCGUGCCAGCCGCCGCAGUAA
RNAcentral lists this ribosomal RNA (449 nucleotides) under uncultured bacterium. RNAcentral describes it as "partial 16S ribosomal RNA". It matches the Rfam family "Bacterial small subunit ribosomal RNA", at positions 29 to 523 of the family's 1533-position model. The record is from RNAcentral.